CUUGGAGUGGGAAAAAGUCUCCUGUUGCCAUUUUUUUAGACAUGACAGCAGCUGUUAAGACAGUUGAUUCCCCAUAACGGACAACGGUUGCUCCAUUUGCUUGUUUUGCCACUUGGCCAACUUCAACAACUAAUGGUUUGCCAGCAAAGGUUGUGCUAAAGGUUUGUUUUGACAUAAAAUCAUUUCCUUAGAAGAAUGACAUCUUCAGUCAUUCUUUCCUUUCAAAAAGUUUUUCGGUAUUUUUCGGUAUACGAUGUUUUCCUACAAAGAGCAACCUAAGAAAUGGUCUUAAACUCCUCUUUGUAUCAAAC
Molecule: antisense RNA, 311 nt
Filed under: Streptococcus uberis 0140J
Lineage: Bacteria; Bacillati; Bacillota; Bacilli; Lactobacillales; Streptococcaceae
Description: Listeria sRNA rliD
Rfam family: Listeria sRNA rliD
Source: Rfam by way of RNAcentral